This 495-nucleotide ribosomal RNA is filed under the name uncultured bacterium. Its description in RNAcentral is "partial 16S ribosomal RNA". It matches the Rfam family "Bacterial small subunit ribosomal RNA", at positions 28 to 507 of the family's 1533-position model. The record is from RNAcentral.
GACGAACGCUGGCGGCGUGCCUAAUACAUGCAAGUAGAACGCUGAAGGAGGAGCUUUCUUCUCUGGACGAGUUGCGAACGGGUGAGUAACGCGUAUGUAACCUGCCUGGUAGCGGGGGAUAACUAUUGGAAACGAUAGCUAAUACCGCAUAAGAGUAGAUGUUGCAUGACAUUUGCUUAAAAGGUGCAAUUGCAUCACUACCAGAUGGACCUGCGUUGUAUUAUGUUGUUGGUGGUGUAACGGCUCACCAAGGCGACGAUACAUAGCCGACCUGAGAGGGGGGUCGGCCACCCUGGGACUGAGACACGGCCCAGAACCCUACGGGAGGCAGCCGGAGGGAAACUUCGGCAAUGGACGGAAGGCUGACCGAGCAAAGCCGAGUGAGUGAAGAAGGGUGUCGGAUCGUAAAGAUCUGUUGUAAGAGAAGAAAGAGUGUGAGAGUGGAAAGUUCACACUGUGACGGUACCUUACCAGAAAGCGACGGCUAACUACGUG